UACGUAGGGUGCAAGCGUUGUCCGGAAUUAUUGGGCGUAAAGAGCUCGUAGGCGGUUUGUCGCGUCUGCUGUGAAAUCUAGAGGCUCAACCUCUAGCCUGCAGUGGGUACGGGCAGACUUGAGUGGUGUAGGGGAGACUGGAAUUCCUGGUGUAGCGGUGAAAUGCGCAGAUAUCAGGAGGAACACCGGUGGCGAAGGCGGGUCUCUGGGCCGUAACUGACGCUGAGGAGCGAAAGCGUGGGGAGCGAACAGG
RNAcentral lists this ribosomal RNA (253 nucleotides) under uncultured bacterium. RNAcentral's name for it is "partial 16S ribosomal RNA". It matches the Rfam family "Bacterial small subunit ribosomal RNA", at positions 524 to 776 of the family's 1533-position model. The record is from RNAcentral.